Molecule: ribosomal RNA, 254 nt
Filed under: uncultured bacterium
Lineage: Bacteria
Description: partial 16S ribosomal RNA
Rfam family: Bacterial small subunit ribosomal RNA
Source: RNAcentral
UACGUAGGGUGCGAGCGUUGUCCGGAAUUAUUGGGCGUAAAGGGCUCGUAGGCGGUUUGUCGCGUCGGGAGUGAAAUCCACUGGCUUAACUGGUGGCUUGCUUUCGAUACGGGCAGACUGGAGGUAUGCAGGGGGAGAACGGAAUUCCUGGUGUAGCGGUGAAAUGCGUAGAGAUCCGGAGGAACACCAAAGGCGAAGGCAGUGUCCUGGGGAGUACCUGACGCUCAGGUGCGAAAGCCAGGGGAGCGAACGGG